UUAUUGCGUUAGUCCCUCGUAAUAAUACCAUUAGCCGUUCGGAGGUGGCGUGGUAUAAACUGUAGUUCCCUCAAUUUGUUCGAACACAUCGGGACGCAAAAAUACAAUUUCGAGGAGCAGCCUCUGCUCUGUAUAUAUAUAUAUACUAUAUAUAUAUAUAUUAUUAUAGUGACGUAGUCUCAUAAUACAUAUCCAGUAAGGGAAGCACGACUUGCCAGAACUUGAAGGUUUCCCAGAGGACUGGUCUUUGUUUAAAGAAAUCUUCGUUGCCACAAAAGCUGAUUGCGAAUAUCACUUGUCCGAUCCCACGUUGAUGGAAGAUUUGUUGGUGAAGCUACCUAUGCAAAAGCGCAUCAAGUGGGCGCAACAUUCGUCAAGGAUUCUUCCGCGACCAACUAAAAGUUAUUUUAACGACUGGUUGCAAGAGUUAUCUAAAAUAAUAGAUUCAGCAACGAGUCGAACGUCUAGAACUACUGGGGAAUAAUAUGUGAACCAAGUGCAAAAAGGCAAACACUCUGGGGCUGUAAAUGGUUUGCCGAAUUGAAUCAUUGUGAAAGAUUGCGUCUGGUUGGAAGGAACAGGCUAUGUUUCAAUUGUUUGCAAGGAAAUCAUAGGAAUGAUGUUUGUCGUGAACAUCACGUAUGUGGAGACAAUGCGUCAAACGUUUCCAUGCACUUUUCAAUGACAGCAAUGAGAGCCAGCGCGUACCAGAGUUUUACAGUACCAUCGAAACUUCUUUUAAUAUAUUGCCUGUAUUGUCAUACACGAAUAAUAAAAUAGUUGAGACCUUUGCAUUCUUAGAUGAAAGAUCCGCCAUAUCGCUUAUAAACUACAAUUUAGCAGCCAAACAAUAAAUGAAGAGGCACAAAGAU
Molecule: long non-coding RNA, 872 nt
Organism: Ceratitis capitata (Mediterranean fruit fly)
Lineage: Eukaryota; Metazoa; Arthropoda; Insecta; Diptera; Tephritidae
Exons: 2
Source: RefSeq, a predicted model, not a curated record